This 491-nucleotide long non-coding RNA is filed under the name Salmo salar (Atlantic salmon). RNAcentral's name for it is "lncRNA (ENSSSAG00000119821.1)". The record is from RNAcentral. Lineage: Eukaryota; Metazoa; Chordata; Actinopteri; Salmoniformes; Salmonidae.
GUUAUAUACAGGGGGUACCGGUACAGAGUCAAUGUGAAGGUUAUAUACAGGGGUUACCGGUACAGAGUCAAUAUGGAGGCUAUAUACAGGGGGUACCGCUACAGAGUCAAUGUGGAGGCUAUAUACAGGGGGUACCGGUACAGAGUCAAUGUGGAGGUUAUAUACAGGGGUUACCGGUACAGAGUCAAUAUGGAGGCUAUAUACAGGGGGUACCGGUACAGAGUCAAUGUGGAGGCUAUAUACAGGGGGUACCAGUACAGAGUCAAUGUGGAGGUUAUAUACAGGGGGUACCGGUACAGAGUCAAUGUGGAGGCUAUAUACAGGGGGUACCGGUACAGAGUCAAUAUGGAGGUUAUAUACAGGGGGUACCGGUACAGAGUCAAUGUGGAGGCUAUAUACAGGGGGUACCAGGUACAGAGUCAAUGUGGAGGCUAUAUACAGGGGGUACCUGUACAGAGUCAAUAUGGAGGCUAUAUACAGGGGGUACCGGU